Heterocephalus glaber (naked mole-rat) is the source of this 4144-nucleotide long non-coding RNA. The record is from Ensembl. Lineage: Eukaryota; Metazoa; Chordata; Mammalia; Rodentia; Bathyergidae.
CACAUCCCAUGUGCCCUGCUGUAAAUAGAAAGUCAUGUCAGAUGCUAUUUUGGAUGUGUAGGUGCUAAUCCUCACAAAAUGAGACAGAGGAUUGUUGUGGGAACUGUGUACUAGUGACAAUAUUUCAUGAUGGCUUCGGUUAGGGAGGCAAGUAUGAGCUGACUUGUCCCCUAUUGUGCGGUAGCUAACUGAUAAUCCUGUGGUGGGAAUGGAAAGUGUAAGGUGCUGUAUUUCUACUAAAGCUCUUCUCUGCUAAGCCUGAGAUUCUCUUUCAUGAACAACUGCAGGGGAACCUCACACCAUAUAAGGAGGAGCAGGAGCACUAGGAGACAGGUGCAGCCCCUGCCUUUAGGCACACAAAGGUUGAGUGAGAAGAAAGCACUUUCCACCCCUUUCCGGCCUCUCAUCCUGCUCUCCAGUGGAGGCCCCAUAGGCCACAGAAGAUCUUCCAGGUGCCAAAGUGAACACUGAAGGGAGCUGUAUUUAUGCACAGACAAAAUCCUGAGAAAAUUAAUGAGAGAAGGCAUAGCCUGAAAAGUGCUUAUCCAUCUCCUGGUUCUCCUGCUGUCACUUUGCCUCAUAUGGAUGGAACCUCCACUGGAGUCCUUCGUAAAAGAGAAUCUCAGUCUGCAAGGAGAAGGUUGUUAGUAGAAAAAGGGACACCUGUUUUUAUGCCACUUAAAUAUCAAAGUGCUCGUGGUGGGAGAUAGCUGAUAUUUGCUUCUUUGAACUCAUCAUAAAAUUGUUGUCACUUUUAUAAAUGAAAAUAUUUAAGCCAAGAAAUGACAUGGUCAUAUUUCCAUUUAAAAAAUUUUAAAUAUAUCAGAUAAAAUACUUAUACUAAAAUUUGGAAAGUGCAAAUAUCAAGAAGGAAGAAAUAACAGUCACCAGGAGUCACACCAUUUUGGGGCAAUAAUUUAAAAUACUGAAAAUGCUCCAGUGAAAAUAAUCUCCAGACUUUUGAUGCAUCUGUAUUAAUGUAGUUCACCUAUUUUUAUAUUUCAUAUACUCAAUUGUAUAUUUUACAUAUAUAGUUUAUGUAUGUCAAUUUUAUCAAUGUAUGUAUAUUCCACUUAUUCUUUUACAAAAAAAAGUCAACUUGUAAUGCUAUUUUAAAGUCUUUCUCCAUGUCACCAUAACUCCAGUGUUACUGUGAAUAGCCAUUUUCAAGUUUAAAUUGGGGAGGAUCCUCUGGUAAGGGUAGGACUUCCGCUGGAGGGCAAGUUGAUAGAACAGUUAGGAGGCUGGAGAAGCUUUUCUUCUCACACCAUAAGCCCUGAGGGCAGGGACUGCCUUCUGCACAGGGGCUCAGAGAGCAUUCCAAAAUAGCAGCAGUGAGGACCUCCUGAUGCAAGUGGUUCAAUCUCAUGGACGAAUUGGACAGAAGACAGUGAGUCUGCCAAGGAUGAUUGGCCUGUCUCUGCUGUGGCCGUCCCUUCCAGUCUAGGAGGAUAAUUACUCCGUCAGUGCUGAAGGGGAAGGAUUGAUGUUUCUGGUAAUGUGUUCAAUAGAGAAUAGCAGUUGUCAACAUCAAUUAGCUCACCAAUGAAAUCAAUAUAAAAUAGAAGCUCCUGGGACUUGAUAAUGAAAUGAUAUAAUUAAGAGGAAUUUGGCAACAUUCCAAAGAGGAGGCUGGAUAAACUGGCUUUUUGUGUAUCCAACCCAUCUCACUCCCAGUAUCACAAAGAGACUGUCCAUUAAGAGAAAGAUUGCUGUCACUGUGGGUGUACGUGAAGGAAGGAGGGCUAAAGUCUGUUCUACUCUUUGUUGUGUGAACAGCUGCAGAGACCAGCCUGUGACACUCAACUAAAAGGUUUCCUAACUCAGUUCCACACCCCUUGAUUUAUGCUCUAGAAAUGCAUGUCAGACAUGCUUACUUUAAAAAGAAUCACUGAUUUUAGAGAAAAAUUUCAGAAGUAGGGCGGGCAUAAUUAUAAUAAUGUCUCAAAUUUUCACAGUGCUUCAGUUUGGAAUCAAAGUACAGUUGUUAUUAUUCCUAUAAGUGAUAAAGUGGUCUUUUUCUAAAUGGCCAAAAGUUAAAAAAAAAAAAAAAAAAAAAGGCCAAAAGUACGGAUUCAAGUAUUCAAAAGAAAGGCUUUCAAGCCAUUAUUUGCGCAACCCCUUUCUUUUAUUCCUGAUUAAUACUCUAAAUAAGAUUGAUUAUUCACCAUCUAUCCACCCAACAAAUACUUUUUAAAUGUCUGCUUUGCAUGCUGUAUUUUUCUAGACUAUACAGCAAAUAAGAAAUCAGAUAAAACUUCCUGCCUUUGAGGAAUUUAUACUAUAACUGAAGCAAGGACAGAGAGCAAUAGAGAAUAAACAAUUAUAUUCGAGAAAUAUGUAGGCUGUCAAGUGGUAGAUACUUUGGAGAAGAAUAAAGCAGGAUAAAGGGAUAAAGCAUGCAAGCUUAGGAAGGUAGGAUGAAGCUUUUUGAAACUGGGCUGUCUGAGAGGCCUUAUUGAUAAGAUUUGGGCAGAGGUGGCAAGAUGGUAAGGGGCAAGCCAGGCAGAUAUCAGUGUGAAAGAGCUGAUUAGAAGGAAAGAAUAAGUUAGACAAUGGAAAGGAAGAGGUUGCUUGCCUUUGAGGGAGGAGGCAAAGAACAUCAUUACAUUCCCAUAAAAGGAAGAAUGAAAUGAUGGAAAAAAGAGGAGGAAAUCAGGUCAGAAAUGUAAGGGACUGUAUGCCUAAAGGAAUGAACACAUCAAGCAGGCUGUGCUAAGCAAAAGGGAAAAAUAAAACAAAUAAAAAUAAAGGAAUCAACAACAGAAGAAUAAUGCAAUAACAAGAAUCAGUCAAUACCUUUCAGUAAUAAUUUUCAAUUAAAUGGUUUUAACUAGCCAAUCAAAAAAUACCGAUUGGCAAAUUAGAUCCAGAAACAAAAUUCAAUUCUGUGUUACAUACAAGAGACACAUUUAAUUCAUAAAGAAACAAGUAAACUGAAAAUUAAAAGAUGGAAAAUGAUAUACUAUGUAACAGAAACCUGAAAGCAAGCAGAAGCAGCUAUCCAAUUUUCAGACAAAGUGGACUUCAAGCUAUAAAUCAUCAAAAGAGGCAAAGAAGGUCACUACAUUCUCAUAAAGGGAACAAUUCAAGAAGAGGAGAAUACAAUUGUAAAUGUAUAUACACUGAAUGCCUGCACACUGAACUACUUAAAAUACAUACUACCGAACAUAAAUAAUCAUAUAACCAUCAGCACAAUCAUAGUGAGGGACAGCAAUACCCUGCUAUAUCACAAAUAGGUCACCUAGACAAAAAAAAAGUCAACAAAGAAAUAUCAGAGUUCAACCACACUUUCAAACAAGUGGUUGUAAUAGAUACCUACAGUGUACCACCAAGCAACAACAGAAUACACAUUCUUCUCAGCACCACAUGAUACUUUCUCCAAAAUAGACCACACCCUAGGCCAUAAAAAAUCCUGAAAUAAAUACAAAGAAUUAAAAUAACCUCAUGCAUGUACUAUGAAACUAGAAAUUAAUGGCAAAAGAAAUCACAGAAAUUAUGCCAACAUAUGGAGAUUAAAUGAUACAUUCAUGAGUAAUCAAUAUGUCACAGAAGAAAUCAAGGAAGAAUUUUAAAACAUCAUAGAAUCAAAUGAUAAGGACAAUGUAACAUACCAGCACAUAUGAAAUACAAUUAAAACAAUCCUAAGGGGGAAGUUUAUAGCUUUGUAUGCACACACUGGAAAAACAGACUGUUAUGGCUUGUAUUUAGAUGUCUCCCCAAAGCCUCCUGCUUUUCUAAAGGUGGUUGAAUCUAGAGUGUGUGAUUGAUUCAUGGUGGGGCUAGGCUGGAAGGCACUGGGAUUAAGGGCAUGAGUGCUAUCCACCCUAAGUAGUCUGAAUAAGAUAAAAAGGGGCAGGAAGAUACUGAUAAGGUUUCCUUGUUACUUUUGCUACCUUGUGCACACCCUAUUGUUUCUCCUCUGUGAUGCGUGUUUGCCAUCUCUGCCUUGGAGGCAGCUGAUUAUGGACUGAAACCUCUACGAACUAUGAGCAAAUAAACCCUUUCCCCUUUAACUUUGGAUGUUGGGUAUUUUGUCUCAGCAGAGAGAAAGGUAACUAAGACACAGACCUAUUCCAAAUAAAUAAUCUAAUGAUACACCUCAAGGUCCUGGAAAAAGAAGAGAAAUCCAAGUCCAAAACUG